AAGCAAUUUCAAUUUGUUAAUUUGUAUUUAAGCUGGGUUUUGGAUUUCUAUCAGGUUUUAAUUCUUGUUUUUGAAAUCCAUUUCUCUUGCAAAUAAUCAAUGGAUCCAAAUUGAGAUGGGUAGUUCAAGAUCCACGCCCAAAGAAAGGUUCGGCAAUGUUUAUCAGGUUGCGGGUUUAGGUGUUGGGAAAGCUUCGUUCAAACUUUCAUCGAGAAUCCUUAUGAUUUGAUAUCCUUUUCUUACGUCGUUCGAAACAUUGUCAAGUUCUUCCGCAGUGAAAACUUUUUCUGCAGGAAGUGUUAACAUCUUCAAUGCUGGUGAUAGUUUUCCCUUUCAUUGUAGAUGUUUGCGGUGUUCUGGCAGCACAUCUUCUUUCAUUGAGCGGUAAAUUUGUAACAUCUCUCAAAACAUCCAUCUCGAUUAUUUUGGCCCUAAAAUUUGAUUCUGUUGAAAAUAAUAAGGAGAGCUAAGUAUUAAAAGACAGUUUUAUCAAUAAACUCUUUGCGAAUAUAUACUUACGUAUAGACAUUUACAUGGCAAAGAGGACUCUAGCAUUUACAAACCUUUGGAGCAAAUCUUUUCUGGGGGUGUUGUAUUCGCACUUUUGAAGA
Molecule: long non-coding RNA, 611 nt
Organism: Camelina sativa (false flax)
Lineage: Eukaryota; Viridiplantae; Streptophyta; Magnoliopsida; Brassicales; Brassicaceae
Source: RefSeq, a predicted model, not a curated record